This 182-nucleotide ribosomal RNA is filed under the name Pythium sp. 173. RNAcentral describes it as "5.8S ribosomal RNA". The stretch from base 2 to 156 matches the Rfam family "5.8S ribosomal RNA". From Rfam's summary of the family: 5.8S ribosomal RNA (5.8S rRNA) is a component of the large subunit of the eukaryotic ribosome. Lineage: Eukaryota; Oomycota; Peronosporomycetes; Pythiales; Pythiaceae. The record is from RNAcentral.
CAACUUUCAGCAGUGGAUGUCUAGGCUCGCACAUCGAUGAAGAACGCUGCGAACUGCGAUACGUAAUGCGAAUUGCAGAAUUCAGUGAGUCAUCGAAAUUUUGAACGCAUAUUGCACUUCCGGGUUAUGCCUGGAAGUAUGUCUGUAUCAGUGUCCGUAAAUCAAACUUGCCUUUCUUUUUU